UCUCUCAUCACGUGCUUGCUCAUGCUCAACUCAAGCUGAACACACAUAAGGCCUAUCAAAAGCAAUUGACUACAGUUCAUUUUAUUUAACAAAAUUUUCAAACAAGAAAAUCCAGGCAUUUUCAUUUGAAAUAUUGUUUUUCUAUCAGUUGUUGCCAUCAUUAAAUGUAUCUUAUAUAUGUACAUAUAUCUGUACGUAUGACUAAGUCACAUAGCCGACUAAGCGGACGCGAUGCCAAUUCAGAUUUCAAUACGAUAGGAACCAGUUACUUUUAAAUUUGAAAACCAAGUCAUCUGAGUGAGUACUAUCCCAAGGAAUCAUUUGUUCAUGUAAAAAUGUGCUUGCAUAAAAUUUCCUAAAGCAAUUUCCUGAAAUAUCGAUAAAGACCGAAGAACUCGAUGAAAACAUUUUAUCGCACAAUGUUUUUUUGUGUGUUGGAUGUGCUUUGAAAUGACAGAUAUUCCUUUUCAAUUUAGGACCGCCUCUCAAGAUGUGCACGAUCAUGUCAGGAUAAAAUAUAGGACAAAAAUUACAAGAAGAGAUGAAGGUUUGUGUAGAUGAAUGUUGUGAUACACAUUGUAAGCUUCUACCCAAAAUGUUUCAAAGAAUGAGUGAAACAUUUUGUCGAUUACAGCAGAAUUGAUUAAAGAUUUUUCUUCAUAUGAAAUAUUGGUAACUUUUAAACAGAAAAUAUGAUCGUGUUCAAACAUAUUUAGUGUAAAUAACUUUUAAAACUUUAUUGAAUAAUGAUUUGGUACUCAAAAAGUGACGUCAACAUCACCAAAUUUCCACAGUCAUGAACAGUGGAGUCUGUUGAAAAUUUCGAAAUAUUCCUUUAUGAUUUGAUAAGCCUGCUAGCAAACGGCAUUUUGGUUAUGAGCAAUAUAACUUGUCAGUGUUGGAAAAUUAGGCCUCAAAAAAUACAGAAAAGAUUACUACAAUGUAAAGCAUUGUAUUAUCUCACAAAUAAUGACAAAUUGUUACAUUCCGUACACUAAAACUAUCAUAUGCUGUUUUAAGUAUUUCUUAAAGAAUUGCUUGGUGUUAGUGUCUCAGUUAAUCAAUCACAUAGCCAACUAAACGAA
Molecule: long non-coding RNA, 1085 nt
Organism: Xenia sp. Carnegie-2017
Lineage: Eukaryota; Metazoa; Cnidaria; Anthozoa; Malacalcyonacea; Xeniidae
Exons: 2
Source: RefSeq, a predicted model, not a curated record